This 93-nucleotide transfer RNA is filed under the name Burkholderiales bacterium. RNAcentral describes it as "tRNA-Ser". It matches the Rfam family "tRNA". From Rfam's summary of the family: Transfer RNA (tRNA) molecules are approximately 80 nucleotides in length. Their secondary structure includes four short double-helical elements and three loops (D, anti-codon, and T loops). Lineage: Bacteria; Pseudomonadati; Pseudomonadota; Betaproteobacteria; Burkholderiales. RNAcentral also lists the same sequence under 2 other names. The record is from RNAcentral.
GGAGAGAUGGCCGAGUGGUCGAAGGUACUCCCCUGCUAAGGGAGCGUGGGGUUUAUAGCCUCACCGAGGGUUCGAAUCCCUCUCUCUCCGCCA